GUGCCAGCAGCCGCGGUAAUACGUAGGUCCCGAGCGUUGUCCGGAUUUAUUGGGCGUAAAGCGAGCGCAGGCGGUUAGAUAAGUCUGAAGUUAAAGGCUGUGGCUUAACCAUAGUACGCUUUGGAAACUGUUUAACUUGAGUGCAAGAGGGGAGAGUGGAAUUCCAUGUGUAGCGGUGAAAUGCGUAGAUAUAUGGAGGAACACCGGUGGCGAAAGCGGCUCUCUGGCUUGUAACUGACGCUGAGGCUCGAAAGCGUGGGGAGCAAAC
RNAcentral lists this ribosomal RNA (268 nucleotides) under uncultured Streptococcaceae bacterium. RNAcentral describes it as "partial 16S ribosomal RNA". It matches the Rfam family "Bacterial small subunit ribosomal RNA", at positions 505 to 773 of the family's 1533-position model. Lineage: Bacteria; Bacillati; Bacillota; Bacilli; Lactobacillales; Streptococcaceae. The record is from RNAcentral.